Long non-coding RNA from Sciurus carolinensis (gray squirrel), 242 nucleotides. RefSeq lists it as uncharacterized. Lineage: Eukaryota; Metazoa; Chordata; Mammalia; Rodentia; Sciuridae. The record is from RefSeq and is a predicted model, not a curated record. The transcript has 3 exons.
GAAGAUUCCCUAGCGGCUUUCUGCUAAUGAAUGACCCAAGAGUAACACCACCACAAUCUGCGGGAAAUGAUCUGCAGGGUUGAAAUGAAAUGUUUUGAGCUCUUCAAGCUGACUCAUCAGAAUCCAGGAGCCUAGUAAAAAUGAUGAAGUGCCUGACAUGGGAAUCAUAGAUUUUAAUGAAGGAACGUGGAAAUUAAUAAAACAUAUAUGUCUAAGCAGCAGAGCCUCUGCUUCAUUCCUGA